Molecule: ribosomal RNA, 515 nt
Filed under: uncultured Agromyces sp.
Lineage: Bacteria; Bacillati; Actinomycetota; Actinomycetes; Micrococcales; Microbacteriaceae
Description: bacterial SSU rRNA
Rfam family: Bacterial small subunit ribosomal RNA
Source: RNAcentral
AUGAACUUGGAGCUUGCUCUGGGGGAUUAGUGGCGAACGGGUGAGUAACACGUGAGUAACCUGCCCUGGACUCUGGGAUAACUUCGAGAAAUCGGAGCUAAUACCGGAUAGGACCUUGCACCGCAUGGUGUGGGGUGGAAAGUUUUUCGGUUUGGGAUGGACUCGCGGCCUAUCAGCUUGUUGGUGAGGUAAUGGCUCACCAAGGCGUCGACGGGUAGCCGGCCUGAGAGGGUGACCGGCCACACUGGGACUGAGACACGGCCCAGACUCCUACGGGAGGCAGCAGUGGGGAAUAUUGCACAAUGGGCGCAAGCCUGAUGCAGCAACGCCGCGUGCGGGAUGACGGCCUUCGGGUUGUAAACCGCUUUUAGUAGGGAAGAAGCCUUCGGGUGACGGUACCUGCAGAAAAAGGACCGGCUAACUACGUGCCAGCAGCCGCGGUAAUACGUAGGGUCCGAGCGUUGUCCGGAAUUAUUGGGCGUAAAGAGCUCGUAGGCGGUUUGUCGCGUCUGCUG